Molecule: ribosomal RNA, 378 nt
Filed under: uncultured bacterium
Lineage: Bacteria
Description: bacterial SSU rRNA
Rfam family: Bacterial small subunit ribosomal RNA
Source: RNAcentral
UAAUACGGGGGGAGCAAGCGUUGUUCGGAUUUACUGGGCGUAAAGGGCGGGUAGGCGGCCACUGUAAGUCGAUUGUGAAAUCUCCGGGCUUAACCCGGAAAGGUCAGUCGAUACUGCAGGGCUAGAGUGCGGAAGGGGCAACUGGAAUUCUCGGUGUAGCGGUGAAAUGCGUAGAUAUCGAGAGGAACACCUGCGGCGAAGGCGGGUUGCUGGGCCGACACUGACACUGGACUGCGAAAGCUAGGGGAGCGAACGGGAUUAGAUACCCCGGUAGUCCUAGCCUUAAACGAUGAAUGCUUGGUGUCUGGGGUUUUAUAGUCCCCGGGUGCCGUCGCUAACGCUUUAAGCAUUCCGCCUGGGGAGUACGGUCGCAAGACU